CGCUGAGUUUGAUCCUGGCUCAGAUUGAACGCUGGCGGAAUGCUUUACACAUGCAAGUCGAACGGUAGAGGGGGCAACCCCUUGAGAGUGGCGAACGGGUGAGUAAUAUAUCGGAACGUGCCCAGUCGUGGGGGAUAACGUAGCGAAAGUUACGCUAAUACCGCAUACGAUCUAAGGAUGAAAGCGGGGGAUCGCAAGACCUCGCGCGAUUGGAGCGGCUGAUAUCAGAUUAGGUUGUUGGUGAGGUAAAAGCUCACCAAGCCGACGAUCUGUAGCUGGUUUGAGAGAACGACCAGCCACACU
Molecule: ribosomal RNA, 303 nt
Filed under: uncultured Comamonadaceae bacterium
Lineage: Bacteria; Pseudomonadati; Pseudomonadota; Betaproteobacteria; Burkholderiales; Comamonadaceae
Description: bacterial SSU rRNA
Rfam family: Bacterial small subunit ribosomal RNA
Source: RNAcentral